GGUUAAGUGACUAAGCGUACACGGUGGAUGCCUUGGCAGUCAGAGGCGAUGAAAGACGUAGUAACUUGCGAUAAGCCCAGAUUAGGUAGUAACAACCAUUUGAGUCUGGGAUUUCUGAAUGGGGAAACCCACUUACAUAAGUAAGUAUCAUUAACUGAAUACAUAGGUUAAUGAGGCGAACCGGGGGAACUGAAACAUCUAAGUACCCCGAGGAAAAGAAAUCAACCGAGAUUCCGAAAGUAGCGGCGAGCGAAAUUGGACUAGCCCUUAAGCUUUACACGCGUUAGACGAACGGUCUGGAAAGUCCGACGAUACAGGGUGAUAGUCCCGUAGUUGACGACGUGUGUUCAGUGAAAUCGAGUAGGGCGGGACACGUGAUAUCCUGUCUGAAUAUGGGGGGACCAUCCUCCAAGGCUAAAUACUACUGACUGACCGAUAGUGAACCAGUACCGUGAGGGAAAGGCGAAAAGAACCCCUGUGAGGGGAGUGAAAUAGAACCUGAAACCGUGUACGUACAAGCAGUAGGAGCAGGCUUUGUCCUGUGACUGCGUACCUUUUGUAUAAUGGGUCAGCGACUUAUAUUCAGUGGCAAGGUUAACCAUCUAGGGGAGCCGUAGGGAAACCGAGUCUUAACUGGGCGUUCAGUCUCUGGAUAUAGACCCGAAACCAGGUGAUCUAGCCAUGGGCAGGUUGAAGGUUGAGUAACAUCAACUGGAGGACCGAACCGACUAAUGUUGAAAAAUUAGCGGAUGACUUGUGGCUAGGGGUGAAAGGCCAAUCAAACCUGGAGAUAGCUGGUUCUCCCCGAAAGCUAUUUAGGUAGCGCCUCGGACGAAUACUACUGGGGGUAGAGCACUGUUAAGGCUAGGGGGUCAUCCCGACUUACCAACCCUUUGCAAACUCCGAAUACCAGUAAGUACUAUCCGGGAGACACACGGCGGGUGCUAACGUCCGUCGUGGAGAGGGAAACAACCCAGACCGCCAGCUAAGGUCCCAAAUUACUACUAAGUGGGAAACGAUGUGGGAAGGCUCAGACAGCCAGGAUGUUGGCUUAGAAGCAGCCAUCAUUUAAAGAAAGCGUAAUAGCUCACUGGUCGAGUCGGCCUGCGCGGAAGAUGUAACGGGGCUAAGUAGUAAACCGAAGCUGCGGCAAUAUACUUUUGUAUAUUGGGUAGGGGAGCGUUCUGUAAGCGGUUGAAGGUGUGUGGUAACGCAUGCUGGACGUAUCAGAAGUGCGAAUGCUGACAUGAGUAACGAUAAAGGGGGUGAAAAACCUCCUCGCCGGAAGACCAAGGGUUCCUGUCCAACGUUAAUCGGGGCAGGGUAAGUCGACCCCUAAGGCGAGGCCGAAAGGCGUAGUCGAUGGGAAACGGGUUAAUAUUCCCGUACUUCUUACAAUUGCGAUGGGGGGACGGAGAAGGCUAGGUGGGCCUGGCGACGGUUGUCCAGGUUCAAGUGCGUAGGCUUAAGAGUUAGGUAAAUCCGGCUCUUUUUAAGGCUGAGACACGACGUCGAGCAUCUACGGGAUGUGAAGUCAUUGAUGCCAUGCUUCCAGGAAAAGCCUCUAAGCUUCAGAUUGUAAGGAAUCGUACCCCAAACCGACACAGGUGGUCGGGUAGAGAAUACCAAGGCGCUUGAGAGAACUCGGGUGAAGGAACUAGGCAAAAUGGUACCGUAACUUCGGGAGAAGGUACGCUCUUGAUGGUGAAGUCCCUUGCGGAUGGAGCUGACGAGAGUCGCAGAUACCAGGUGGCUGCAACUGUUUAUUAAAAACACAGCACUGUGCAAAAUCGUAAGAUGACGUAUACGGUGUGACGCCUGCCCGGUGCCGGAAGGUUAAUUGAUGGGGUUAGACUUCGGUCGAAGCUCUUGAUCGAAGCCCCGGUAAACGGCGGCCGUAACUAUAACGGUCCUAAGGUAGCGAAAUUCCUUGUCGGGUAAGUUCCGACCUGCACGAAUGGCGUAAUGAUGGCCACGCUGUCUCCACCCGAGACUCAGUGAAAUUGAAAUCGCUGUGAAGAUGCAGUGUACCCGCGGCUAGACGGAAAGACCCCGUGAACCUUUACUACAGCUUGGCACUGAACAUUGACCCUACAUGUGUAGGAUAGGUGGGAGGCUUUGAAGCACGUACGCCAGUAUGUGUGGAGCCGUCCUUGAAAUACCACCCUUGUAGUGUUGAUGUUCUAACGUCGACCCCUAAUCGGGGUUGCGGACAGUGCCUGGUGGGUAGUUUGACUGGGGCGGUCUCCUCCCAAAGAGUAACGGAGGAGCACGAAGGUGGGCUAAUCACGGUUGGACAUCGUGAGGUUAGUGCAAUGGCAUAAGCCCGCUUGACUGCGAGAAUGACAAUUCGAGCAGGUGCGAAAGCAGGUCAUAGUGAUCCGGUGGUUCUGAAUGGAAGGGCCAUCGCUCAACGGAUAAAAGGUACUCCGGGGAUAACAGGCUGAUACCGCCCAAGAGUUCAUAUCGACGGCGGUGUUUGGCACCUCGAUGUCGGCUCAUCACAUCCUGGGGCUGAAGUCGGUCCCAAGGGUAUGGCUGUUCGCCAUUUAAAGUGGUACGCGAGCUGGGUUUAGAACGUCGUGAGACAGUUCGGUCCCUAUCUGCCGUGGGCGUUGGAAGAUUGAAGGGGGCUGCUCCUAGUACGAGAGGACCGGAGUGGACGAACCUCUGGUGUUCGGGUUGUGUCGCCAGACGCAUUGCCCGGUAGCUAAGUUCGGAAUCGAUAACCGCUGAAAGCAUCUAAGCGGGAAGCGAGCCCUGAGAUGAGUCUUCCCUGAUACUUUAAGUAUCCUAAAGGGUUGUCGGAGACUACGACGUUGAUAGGUCAGGUGUGUAAGUGCUGUGAGGCAUUGAGCUAACUGAUACUAAUUGCCCGUGAGGCUUAACCAU
This 2892-nucleotide ribosomal RNA is filed under the name Vibrio parahaemolyticus. Its description in RNAcentral is "23S ribosomal RNA". It matches the Rfam family "Bacterial large subunit ribosomal RNA". Lineage: Bacteria; Pseudomonadati; Pseudomonadota; Gammaproteobacteria; Vibrionales; Vibrionaceae. The record is from RNAcentral.